AACGCACAUUGCGCCCGCUGGUAUUCCGGCGGGCAUGCCUGUCCGAGCGUCAUUUCGUCCCUCAAGCCCCCGCGCUUGGUGUUGGGCACCCCGCGGGAACCUCCCCGCGGGCGCCCCAAAUGCAUCGGCGGUUCCGCCCAGCGGCUCCCUGCGUAGUAGAAUCUCUUCUCGCAUCGGGUCUUGGGCGCGGCCGGCCGCUAAACCCCCCAAUCGUAUCAACGGUUGACCUCGGAUCAGGUAGGACUACCCGCUGAACUUAA
Molecule: unclassified non-coding RNA, 260 nt
Filed under: uncultured fungus
Lineage: Eukaryota; Fungi
Description: partial contains 5.8S ribosomal RNA, internal transcribed spacer 2, and large subunit ribosomal RNA
Rfam family: 5.8S ribosomal RNA (bases 1-52)
Source: RNAcentral